GCUAACCUUGCAAUAGAUUCCGUUAAGUAUGGAUGGUCCAGCGAAAACAUACCCGCGGUUGCUAUAUAAGAAAGUAGUGUAAAACUAGAUCAAAGAGGAGGAACUUAGAUUAUUAAGCGUAUAAAUCGGUAAGCAAUUUUCUUCGGUAAAAGUAAUUGCAACUACUGAGGAUGGUCCAGCUAUGCAGCUCGCCCGCUAAACAGUACCCAUGCCUUGGGACUGAUAUCGCCAGGACUGUGCCGCGGUCUAAGCCGUGUCCCACGGUACCGUGCCUGUUGAGGUGGACCGCGAUCGCUCAGUUGAGAAGGCGUGGACCUGGUGGCGUAUCUCAGAGAACUACACAUUUCAAGAAGCAAGCUGACAACACCAUCUAGGCGACAGAAAGCAGUUACCUGUUUGAAGAUAGCAUGGAAAACGUCCAAAGGGCUGUUUAGGUCGACACCUAGCGUGCCUCCGAGUGCCACUUCGUCGUUGGCUCGCUGUUCUUCGAAGACCUGCAGUUGCAGCAAUACACCGGGAUUUCCUUCCUUCCUGCAAAAUCACCAGAUCAAAUGCUCAGUGUUCAUAUGUUUGUGUGACCCUGGUGACAAACGGCAAGACUGAAGACACACUUGAGUGCUUCAAAGCACAGACUGUCAAGGGAGUCCCAUGGUACUACUUAAAGUACUAGUCAUCAACCCAUGGCCAGGCCAACUAAUGUACGAGCCAGCUGUCGUCAACUGCAACUCCUGUUUCAGUUUUUUUUUUAAACUUACUAUUGUCAGAGUUCACCAUCAAGGUAAGUCUGGAAGUCUGACGGGCUGACACUUGAUGCGGACGCAUUGCACAUCAAGUUAUGAGCUCGCCACCAAGUAACAUGCUUCACGCGCACUUCUGAGCAUAUCACUGGGCAGUCCUGCUUCUCUCUCUCCCCACACACACACAAGAAAUUGUCCUUACUGCACUUACUGAUGUUUUAUGUAACGUUAAGUGGAAAUGAAAUGAAAUGUAUUUGUUAUUGAAUGUUUAUUUGUGAUGAUGGUAAACAAGAUAUUUUGUGCUUCUGUAUUUUUUUUAAAAAGGUGACUUUGCCGGACUUAUCGAAGAAAGACCCGAGUCAAAUCCAGAAGCAUUAGUACUUGAAAAAUACACAUUUUCAAAUACGAAUAGUGUAUGUACCCUGUUAUAACACUUCACCCACACACCCACCCUACCCCUAAAUAGCAGUGUAUAUUGUCUGAUGCCUUUGGGGAUAUUCAAAUGACCAUUUUACUGACGCAAGUCACUUCGAACCCGGAGACCCAGAUACUGUUGUUCUGUGACAUGGUGUUUGUGGUAUGUAGCUCUCUACACAUCCAGGGUCUUCUCUCUCCCUUUGCUCUCCACCUUUGUAGCUAACAUUAAAUAGUGAAAUAAUAGCGACUGUGCUGACACUUAUGAAUGUGUCUCGAGCAUAUCCCUUCACUUUUGAAGAAGUAAACUCGGCGUGUUUGCACAAGGUGAGUAUAAUACCUGGGUGUCGCUGGCGCACGAGGCAGCUCAGGGGUCAAGAGACGACGGCGAUAAAUUUAGUCGAGCUUCUAGCCCCAGUGUUAGUACAGAGUGACUCAUUCGCUUUCUCCUCGCUGUAUACACGUAUAUCUACAAGAUCUUCCCUCUUGGGUGACACCGUGCGCCAUGUUAUGCAACGAAAAGUGCUCUAGAGGCGUCUGUCACGAAGCAAGCAAAAAGCUGUUAUUGCCGGCACUAUCAUCUCCAACGAAAUGCGUCUGUAUGCACUUGUUAUUUUAGCGAAAAAAAUGUCCUGUGGGCACAGUGAAACAGUUUUUAUGUGAAUUGUGGUUACAACAAAACAGUUUUCAAAGAUCAUUACAGGUAAACCGGUGUUACAGAGAAACGGUCUCACCUAGCACGUGGAAACCUCGGUGGUGCCAAGCAAUAAACCCCAGACAUCUCCUGUGAAUGGAGACUGAUCUCUAGUUAUGGGAACUGCAUUUUAAAGGAGGCUGCCCAAAAUAGUUUGGAUGGACAGGCGAGGGCUGGAACCCUCUUGAUUUAUACUUGAGGUUCAUUUCCGUUCAUGACCUGUAAGAGUCAUCGUUUAUUAUCAUAAACCUUCUGCCAAGUGAGCAGCUGCUCGGGUGCUUGAACUCUUUAUAAGCAAGUACUUUACCCUUUCCUGAAUGAUCCCAACAACAUCGUGUUACUUAUUUUUAAUGAAAGGCAUCCUGAACGCAUCGUCAAUAUGAAGCUUACCAUGUUUCAGUCAGUAUACACAUGUAUACUUCAUCUGUUCUUAUCCUAGCCUACACCCUUGUAGAAAACACGACAGGUAGGAGUGGCAAAUUUGACGACACUUCUUUUAAAGUGGUUUCAGCUGGUAUCUGGUCUUUGUGAGCAGAUACAGGUCUCUGGGCAGGUAGGCGUCACAAGUUUAUCAGGUUGAAUGAAAUAGUAAGUGGUUGGUUUUUUUUUUCUGGUCCCCACUGCCUUGAGAUUCGAGAAUUCCCCCUUUGUCGAAAUUAUCGGGUGACCCCACCGUCCUUCAUUCACCUGAUCUUAGGAUUUGUCAAAUCAUGUGCGACAACUGCCGCUGUGGCUCAGGCCGACGGUUACAUGACAGACAGAGAAAGCUGGCGAGUGUGAAUGUUGGGUGCAAGUAUGGCUGCGAUAUCGGAAAAGAGAUUAAACGAAAAAUGGCUAAACGGUGAGCUGAUAGUUCCCUAAAAUCUUUCUUGUUAAGUCGUCGAAUGACCCAGAGAGACGUACAUCGCACGCUCACGGCAGAAAUGUUAUUUGUAUUUCUUCAGACUGACAACUCAGACAUAUGGCUGGGCGGACUGACAAACGACAGACAAACGGACAGACAGACACUGCUACAUUGCACGGCAUGCAGAUUGUUUGCAUCAACGAGGUAACAAGGGGACAGAUGUGAGAAAUGCAGACUUUCAACGUCCGAAUAACCCGAACUGUCGCUGUGAUUGGUGUUGACUGCUGGCAAUGUUGUGAAUGGUGCACCAAGGUGACGUAGUACACAGUUAGAGUGACGUAGUACACUGCCAGCGGCGCUCGUUGAUCGCAGGUGCGAAUCGCGCACUUUGCCAGCGGAUAGUUAAUUAACGGAUGGGUUUUGGAAGCUGAAAUUUACAGGUUAUGUUUAUAUCGUGUAUAUAUACUGAUAUCUGCAAAAAACACAAACCAUUCAGGUAGGUCUUUAAAGGGUGGACUCGUACCCGGAUGAGACUGGUACAUGCGCACGGGGGAAAAAUAGUGGUGGGUUGGGGGUGGGGUGGAGUCGGUUUUCUUCCAGUGUCGAGUGCACAGCUGUGCUGUCUAUAUGCCGCCACCGAUUGACGCGACAUCAUUCAACACCUUCCCGUACCCCAACCCCGGACCUCCCUCCAGAAACCCUUGCGCACCCUGCUCAGCAAUGAAUCAUCGGGUGUUGACGACAGUGUGGUUAUGGAAUUAGGCACCAGUCCACCGUGGUGCCAAGAAGCCUAUCAUAUCGCUUUUUGAUUUAACCUUUAGAUUCCUGUUAGUCCUAUAAAUGUCUGUUGGGGUGACGUUGGCUGAGUUGGUUUGAAAAAUCACCUUGUGAAACUUUUUUCAGAUUCAACCCUUCUAAGAUAGGUGGCGUGUUUUUUCAACUUAUUCAUAAAUUUUAAAGUCCAAUAAACCAGACACACAGGCGCGGGUUGAAGAAGUGAAGAGCGUGUCCAGUCUGUCAGCUGAGAUCGUAGCCCAGGUCAUUGUUUAUAAGUGGUCAUGACACAUCCUUUCACACCCAUUCCCCCUUAGUUUCACGUCCAAGCUAGAAAUCGUGUCGAGAGCAGCGCCAUCUCAUGAAUAUGUAUGACAGCCCCCUGAGUUAAAAAUGACUCGAGUGGUGCCGCUACACUCACUUUCAACGCAGUGUUAUUGCUCCGCUGUUGUUGUUGUUUGUUUUUUUCACGUAUGCUCGCUGCUAGUUCUAGUAAUAUUCAGUCGGUUCGCUAACCGAAAGUAGUUUCCAUAACUGUCGGCCGUUACGUCAUGUUAAGGACAUGCGCCCUGAUUGCUACGUGAUAUUUUAGUCGUGACUGCAAGCUGUACCACGAAGAGAUGUCACGAGAGGACAAGAGGUUAUCUCCCUACCUGUUGCCUUUCUCUCUCUCCUCCCUUUCCCUACUCACGACCUGAGGGAAAAGCUAAUAUCGGAGUGGUUAGAGCAACGGUGUCCGAACCCGAAGGCUAGCAUAUUACCGGUUCAAUACCUGUGUGAUGCAGCGUACUGCCCAUACUCUCUCUUUCCCCUUCCAACCCCUCAACCACCAGUCGAUCCAGGAUGGGUACUUGGCUCCUGUAGAGGGUAGGGAAACGUCAGGGAGCGAGGGAGAGGAGAUGAGCAUCGCCCUCACAUAAAGCUGGUCGUGUGAAAAGUGUUUUAAUACUUCUCUCCCCGUUCGACCGUUGCGUCACGAGCUUCACUUUUAUGUUUUUCUCUCACCUCUUCAAUCUGGAAGGACGUCACUGUCAUCUCUGUGACUCCAGUCAAGAACCAUGGUGACAUGGCGAGGAAAAUACUGCAGUCCUUAAUUUAAAAUAAAUUUCUAAGAUACUAGGUUCAGAUCAGUGCACGAGUUACAGAGAACGCGCUCACGUGCGCGACCGCAUAUGAAAGUGUGAAGAAUGCAGGGACAAGAUCAGUCGAGGAACAGAUGCAAAGUCCAUUCACCUCGCAGCACCCGGCAUUAGGAUGCGCCAUGCUGGACAUCUAGUAUGACACUUCGCUCAUUCUCUCAUCUGACUGUUAGGAAGUCAGUGAAAAUGUUAGCUUAACAUUCAUUUUGUUUAAAAUCCUCUUUGCAGACAAGAAUGUGUUCUUGUACAUACUAUAUCAAGAGAUGCUGCUUAUGUCUGUUCUGCUAUCUUUGCGCAUGUACAGGAAACAAAAGCGAUCGUGAUCAUUCAAUCACUCUUCACGUCUGGCUUUCUGUCUGUAGCUCACACAGUGGCUGGUACUGCAAGAGAAAAAAAUUAAUUCAUCAAUGUCAUCUCUCUCUCUCUCACACACACACUGCAUUUUGCUUUUCUUUCUUCGGCUACAAAUGAGAGUAUAUUUCUCCCGAACACGGAAUAAAUAAACGGCCUUAUAGAAUUCUAUAUCCUAAUCAAUUCAUAAAAGCACUGGGAUUAGGUAAUUUAAAAUUCGUCUCAAGUAAUUUCACCGGCUCACUUUGUCCCAUAGUUAAGGGCGUGGUGACAAGUUGAAAAGUUUGAGUUUGUUUUAAGGCGUGGAAACGAAUUCAGACACAGAUCUCUCUCUCUCUCUCUUUCUCUCUCUUGUAUUACCACUUUGAUCAAACGAAUACAUCAGACUGUCGUCAACCUUCAGCCCGUUCAAGACCUUCCCUCCACCCGGGUUUGUAUAAGAUUAGUGCGAGCGAGCCAGGGUAAAAGAACGAAUUAUUUCUUCAGCGGUACCGCGUCGUUACCUCCCAAAGUCACGCUGUGUAAGAAAGCCCUCCGUCAACAAGUGUGCGCGUGUGUAGAAAUACAAGCCGAACAAGGGGAGGGACAGGCCUGUCAUCUGUGAAGUAUGUCACAGCCAGCAGAUGUCCUUUACAGAAAACUUCCAUUACAAGCAGCGACUGAGAUCUUGUUUUCUUUUCUUUUCCGUCACGCUUGGGUACUUUUUCCUUUACAAUUCAGUAUUUUAAAUCCAAGUAUUUUUAUAAUCGUGUACCAGUAAACAUUUGUGCUAGAAUUCUGUCAUUUGCAUCUGUCAGAGAAACAGGCCAACACUUAAGACUUUGAUAACAGUCGUCCCAGAGGUGACAAGGUCUCUGCAUUGCUGUUUGUUUUGAAGAAGUUACUUAUCGGAGGAAAAGGCCCGGGGUACCGCUGGGGAUUGGAUCUCCGCACGGUGCCGCUAAGCAACCCUUCACGACCUGUCGCCUGUCAUCCUACUAGAGUUGACGCCUAAAGUCGGGAGCAUUUAGCCCAGGUACAGCUCAUACCAGCCCACAACCAGCCCACCUGCUCUACAAGUUCCAGUGCAGACUGCAAAGGUUGUAAUGAUUGACGACCAGACGACAUACUUCAUAGAAUGUUGUAGGAUUUUUUUUUUUCGCCCUAAACCUAAUUCACUAUCAUAAACAGAGUUCAAACUCUAUACUCUUCCCAGUUAGAAAACCAGAAUCAAGCUGGGAAUGAUCGCCGAACCGAACAGUUCAGUAGUUCAGAAGAGGUUGCAUCCAAUGCGCGGCGACCAAGGAACCGGAGGUUACGGACCUCGCUGAGGACUGAUCCACGGUAAGAUUAUCGUUCAGCCUUUAAGAGAUCUCGUCAUUAAACUUAGAAGAAUAGUUCAGUUCCAACCCUUCCUGAUGACACGAAAAUUGUAAGGUGUCCACAGAACCAUUUAGACUCUUAAGGCAUUUUGUCUCCUCUUAAGAAGGCUACACCUGGUUCUACACAAACCUGGCAGGCACGACAGUGCCCACCUGUAUUUACAGGUAAUAAAUGCGGAUAAAAUUCACCAGCGAUGUGUGAGGCUGUUAAGGCCUAAGUACAAAUGGCAAUCUGAUUUAGCUUUCUGGAGGCCAACAGGAGCAGUGCUGAAGUCCUCACGUGACCACUUUCUUACCCCCGCGGCCAGAGUUUGGCACAUGGAGUGCGAAUUGGGAUCUCAGGAGAUUUGUCUUAUGAAGGUGCGAUCACGGUUUCCACACAAGUGGCCCAUUAUCUGCUCUGGCCAGACCUGAUUACCUGGCGAGAACCACUACAGCCUCCACCACCACCACCUUCUACCCGGGCGUCCGCCGGAGACUUGACUCUUGACCUUACAAACGGGGUGUGUGAGCGGGUAACAAGCCUAUCAGACUUCUGUCUGCAAAACUCCUGGUCAGGCCUGACGUCUACAGCGUGGUGGAGCUACUUGUUAUCAACGGGAGGGAGAGACCUUGUCAGGACUAGUUGAAGUUCUCAUUGUUCAUAACAGCGGUUUAUCACUCUUUCUCUCUCACUUGCUCUCUCUCUCUCUCCCACAAAUACACGCCAUAGACAGACCCUCGUGAAUACGUGUUCUACACAGGCACAAAGGGAAACAAGCACAAGAACAAAGACUCAUGCAUACGCAUUCACCUAGUGCUCAGAUGCAUUGUGCCGACUGUACGUGAGUUGUGAUCAGUAUACUACAACUCCGGUCCUUUCAAUGAUACAUAAAAUAAGGGCAUUAGUUGGAAAUUAUUUAUGGAUAGUUCGUCUGUUUUCAGCAACAACAUGUACAAUUAAGGUGACCAGACGUCCCGCUUUAGGCGGGACAGUCCCGCUUUUGACCUCUUGUCCCGCCUGCUCAAUGUCCCGCUUUCUGGCUUUCUAGCAAGUCCAUCAAAUGUCCCAGUUGUCUUUAAAAAUCACUUUUUUUCGACAUUCUUUGACGGUGACGACACCAUCACCGGCACGUGUCCCGCUUUCGCCCCGGAAACGUAUGGUCACCUUAUGUACAAUACUUUAAAUACAUAUGCGCUUUCGACGGCUCGCAUUUUCGACCCUGAUGUGUAAGGAUCCGUUUAUUUAUCAAGGCGAACAGGUGAGCCGUACGAUUUCUUUAAUUUCUCGAAAGCGCAUUUUUUCUCUUUUAACAAUUUUUGCAUUCGAGAUGUUGAUUAGUUCUAUGAAUAGCAUUUUUAUUAAGCAAUAUGCGUUCGCGUUCAGAUUGGUCUUUACAUGUGGAUUGGUUUCCCCCGUCUACCUGUAAAUCGCAUAGACAUGCAGGUGACUGACCGGACACUGCGGGUCGUGGGAGCUGUGCCAGGACCUGUUCACCUGCUGUUUGUGCACGCACUCCCACACCUCAUCGCGUCCGACACCCGACUAAAGGGAUACACAACACUCUUGACCCGCUCCCCUAGUUUCCCUCCAACACCUCCCCCACCGCUUUUCUCGCCAUCAUCCGCUUUUGAUGGAAGCCUAUGACACCCCGGGUACCUGCUGACCUCGUCCUUUGUCGGCGGUCAGCGAGAGUCUGUGCCUUCCCACCCCCGCAACACGUGACCUGAGUGAGGAAGUCUGUGUGCAGUUGAGGUUGGCUUUGGCAGGACGAACCCAGUUUUCUUGUCUGGCGGCUAAUUUAGAUAAGUGAUGAUUAGAGACGUGUUUGGUGUUGGGACUGAGAUGAGUGCCGAAGGUUCUCGCAAACAUGCCAUAAAAAGUCACGGUUCCCAUAACUUCACUUUCUUCAUACACGAGUGAGCGCUAUCUGGCCAUACUCUCUUCCUUCCCCACCCAAGUUUAACGCCAUUCUUUUUCCACCCGUACCUUCUCUGAUAAAUCAGAAGUUUCCCCAAAAUCCACCUUCAAGGAACUGAAAACUGUACGACUGAUGGGAUGAUGGGAUGAUGGGAUGUAUUUAGUGGUAAGGAAGCUGCUGGUACGACUGCUGCCCCGGCACUCCAGCCUGACACUCCAGGCGACAAUCCUCUCAAGCGGCGUUUCUCAGUCCAUCCCAUGUUUACCGCGUAUUGUUUGUCCUGGCGCUCUGUACUUCAUUUCUGUCAGUACUACUGUCCGCCAUCCUCCACUCACUCUGCCACUCCCCCUCGUUGUCUCACGCGCACUUUUGGUCAGUUUCUCUUUUUCUCUCCACUUCGCUCUCUUCUCCUUCUCUCUAUUCAAAGCUAGAAGUUGUGAAGUUGUCAGGGAGAAACUAGCCUUCCAUCAUGCUCUCCUGCCCUAAACUUCUUGGACUUCUGACAAAAGGCCGAUGAAAACCUCAAAUAAAGUGCUGCUAUUUUUUCGUUCCUGUUGCUAUUAUCUUUCUUCAGGAAUUCAGCAUUGUCUUCUCAUAGCAAUCAUCUUCUGUAUAAAAUCAGGAAUACUGUACAGAAUCUUCCCGAUAAGUUUGCUGUCUGAAUGUAUAACAUUGGAUUCAUUAAUCCAGGUAAUUCAGUUAUAAAUUAAUAACACAAUAUGAUGGUUUUGUGUGUGCCAUUAGUCCAACAAAACUACACUUAACAUGGAUGACCAACCUACAAACAUUCCAAGAAGCAGGGCUAAUUGUAAAUGUACUGUGAAACUAAACUGCACUUUCUUGAUUUAGUCAGCAUUUUCUAAAGACUGUUUCCAUCCUUUUCUGUUUCCGAAGAAGAAGAAGAAUAGUAACUUCGGUAACAUCAGAUUCACGUGUGGUGGAAGAAGUUGGACCACAUAAAAGCCAGAGUUAGCGCCAGUUUAGUGGCAAUAAAAGUCGGCCCCUCUGAGCUGCGAUCCCUGUUCCAAGCAUGUGACUGUCGUCAGGCCGACACCGACAAAAAGCCUGCAGGUAGGAUUCGUGUGUCAAGACCUGCCGAACAGGUAAACUGGCAAGAAAGUGUAGCUACAUUUGACAGCACUCAGGUGGACCACAUGCCGCGCCGGUGAAGCCGAGCAAAAGAUACUUUCCAAUGAAGAGCUUCACGGACUGAGUGUCAGGCGACGGUGAGUCUGCAGUGCUCAUCCUUUCCAUCAACACCAGUGAGACCACCGAGACGAGCUCUUCACUCUGUCAUCACAACCUCCCCUGACCCACUUUCCCCUCGCUAUUUAUUUAUUUUUUGAACUUUCACGAGGAGUUAGGUUUGUCUUACGAUCUUGAUGUUUCGCUUUUCACAUUUUGUCAGGUGACAAACUUUGAUUUGUUAAAGCUCAGUAGACGUGUGAGGAGUUCUAGUUGUUAUGCAGUUGCAUCUUUCGCAUAUUUCAUGUAAGAUAUGUUUGUUGACUGAUUUAUUUGUCUGUUCGUUCAGAAGACCAUUACUUUCGAAAUGGUGCUAGUGAUGUUUAAAUCGUAUUAUGAAUGUCUGGGCAGUGACUGUAAUAAAAGCAAAGUAUCUUGCCUUGACUACUCAUCAUCUCAGACCUGAUUACAUUGGCUGGUGACCAACUCAUAAUUUGGUUGCUUUGCCACCGUAAAUGCUACGGUGAUAUUCUUGUUAUAUCACCUACAACGUCGAUGUCACCAUGCGCAGACUCGUCUAUACGAACGACCAAACCGCUGUUGCCAUUCCUAUUUGCUUCAAGUUAUCCUCUCAUCGGUUUCUCUGCGACGAUAACAAAAACGUGAGCUUCACGUACGCCCAUUUCUGCAGACGAUAGACUUGACCACAAGAUAACGGGAUGAUAGCAAGUUAAGGAGACAAAUACGUAGUUAUCGGCGCCUAUACAUGUGUACACCUUGCCAUCCUCAGCGAACAUUAGGGACGGUCGUUUGACAGUCUUCACUAGCGUGUCACAGAUGAGUGCGCUCCGAGUGCUGGGCUCACUGCUUUUUUUUUUAUCAGGUGCCGUCAACAGUCUGCUGGCACAUGUCACGCUCCACUGGCCUUCCCCUCCCCUUACCACUCCCCAACCCCACAAUGUCGCAAGAGUCGCAAGUGAUAACAGCGCCGCUUGAGAGCUUUUCAUGGCGAGCGCACACGUCAGUGGAAACCAGACUCCCCUCAGAAUCACGUGUCCAUGCAGCUUAUGCCUGCGCAUUUGUGUAGAAAACAUAAACCUCAACAACCUCCUAACCCCAUCCCUCCCAACCCACUCUUCUCUGGCUCCCGCCCCUCAAAUAAAAAUGAGAAGAAUUAAUCUGCCGUGUCAAGGGAAGAAUGCACGACGUCUCAAGCAGGCACGUUUGCCGAGCUCAGGUAAUCGGCCGUUGUGUCUUCACUUGUGUUAUGGUGUUUGCGAUGGUUUCAAGAUUGCAAUACAGAAAACCACACACGCACACACACACGCACACGCACACGAGUGUGCACAUGCACAACAUUUCGCAUGCCAGGCUAAGUUCCUGAGUUCCGGCGACUCAGCUCCGCGGUCCUGUCAAUGAACCAUCAUGACUGUUAUUCAGCAGCUUGACUAGCCAGAUGACCACAAACAUUUCUGGGUUGUGAAAAUACAAAGAGUGCACGUCUAUUUUAAUUGUUUCACUUUAUUUAGCAGAAAAUACGUGCAUGCAGGUGAAAAAUGAAUAUGUAGACAUUUACAUUGCCUCUGAGCUAUUCCUUUAAUUUGUGCAAAAUAACGUUGCAGACGUUAUUUCACAAAAAAAAAAAAAGAAAAAAAACUUUAAUGCAGCUUUUAUUUCCCACUUUGCAUAAUUCAGAUAUUACCACACAUAAGAAACUUUCGGUGUUUCCUUUUUUCUUCCUCUUCAACGCUUUUUCCCCCCUCCUCUCCCCGAGAAAGAUGGGCGGACUGGCGCUGUAGAGCAGUAUGUUGACAUCAUGUGGCGGGACGACACGCACGACUGCUCUAAUCUGCAUUUAUACAUGCAGCAGCAAACGUCACAACACAACCAUAACUUUCGACCUCCAAAAAUCUCCUCGCACAUAGCAGACCGCGGGCAGGAUCAGGGUCAAGGUUCAAGUCGGGAUUAGGAGUUUUUCAUUUCUCGAUUUCGUCACAGAAUGCUUGGCUUCGCGAUUUAUUAUAGAUUAAUUACUAUCAUUAUUCAGCAAAUCAGCCAACGAUAUUGUUUCUGAUUAAUUUUAUUUUCCUCUCAGCCUUUUGUGAGGGCUGAAGAACGUGCCGACGUUCACUUUCCUGUUUGGGAUUCAGAACAUGCGCACUGAAUACAGUACUUACACACCUGUCUUUAUUGUUCAGCUGUUAUUUACACGCCUCACAGCUGUGAGGUCCUUCAAGUAAGAACUUACAGCUGCAGUCGUGGGAGUGUCAUUUUUCAGGAACACGUAGACUCGCCAUUAACAUUAACAAAUACAAAAAAACUCCUUGUCUCGGUGUCUGCUGUCGGCGACAAGUAAGUUACGAACAGCCAAGCACCUUAUUUUUGUUGUUGGGUUUUUUUUAACAGUAGAGGGUGUGAUGCGGACAAGAGCGCUUAGAAAUGACAGCUUAGUACGUCUUUUUUUUUUCUUUUCUUUUUUUUUUUUUUUGAGAAUAAACCAUGACUCAUGGUUAGCGUCGAGAAAGGUGGUUAAACUCCUCCUGACUGACCUAUAUCACAUUUGCAAGAACACCUGAACGAUGGAGAAGGUAUAAAGUACCAGAGGUUCAUGUUAACAAAGACUGUGGUUCACCAUGUGAAGGGACGUGGAUAGAGUCUGUUCGUCAUAUGGGGUGGGUGGGUUGGCCAGCAACCCAGUACAUUAAUGGUCUAAGGGUCUCAGGUUCAAAUCUCGCCUCGGAGCAGAUUCAUUUCUGAAUGUGACAGCUCGUUGAAUGUUUUACUUGGGGUUUUCUGGUUUUGUCUUUCUUCCUCCGUCGUGAAAAAUUACCAAAUGAUAGAAAGAAGCUGUCAAAAUAAACCGAGCCUGGUGCUCAGUCAUACCAACAACUUAGGAAUCCCAAAACAUCCCGACCAUAAAUCACGACGGCCUUGUUUUUUAGUUGUUUUUUUUUUAUAUUUGGCUCAAUCAUUUGCACGGAAAUUAAUCCUUUCGAUGACAAAUCUUUUCAGCAUGACGGUCAGCCGAGAAACAAGCAUUCGUAUAUCUGCUACACUAUUCUCAGAGAGAGGGAGAUUGUGUGUUCUCAUUCGCAAACAAAGAUUGUCACUGCAGCAAAAGCAUUUUCUUUUGACUCAGCAGGGCAGAGCUUCUGUUUUCCUUACUUGCUUUAUUGUAGACUCGAGUGUCGGAAAGAUAAGAGGACGCCCAGUUGCAAUUUUAGAUCGAUUAACUGAAACGUCAGACGAUAAGCAGCGGGUAGGUGGAGGCCACCCCGGUGUCAAGUCCAAAGCGACGCUGUUAUGGGCUGCGUAGGUAGGAGGCGAGUCCUUGCAGGUCUUGCGGGCGGAUUGGUAUGACAUGACAACCUUCCACGUAACAAAAACAUCAGCAAACAUCCCGCGAGGUUUCCCACCCGACACGGAGAAGGUGGGCCGAUAAUCCGUUUGCUAACAGAGAGGAUAGCGCGAUCGCUGCUAGUUCUGAAAGGAUACUGCCACCUAGGUUCCUAUUCAUGAAGUACAUUUAGCGAGCCUGUUACCCUACCCAAGCUGCUAAAUUGCUACCCGCAGUUAGCCACUAAACCCCCCUAUACAUGGACUCAGGGUACGCCUACCCACCUAAAUUCUUCAGCCGAUAAUUUAUCAGAGGAAUCCCCUUCCGAACGGUUUCUUCCAUAUAGAGUAAAUAUGAUGGAGGUUGUAAUUGAGUUCAACAAAAGCGAGCACGGGGGCAGUGGGGGGUAGUUGGCGUGAAUGGGUGUUUCAGGGCGACCCAGCAGCUGAGGUUACAUCACGACAGUAGCUGGUCAUGUUUCAUAUGCAGAGAAAGAACAGAGUACAAAGAAUUUUUCUGGACCUUAUAAACUGGACAGAUGUAUGACACAUAACUGUUUGAUUAAUACCUUUUUAUAUUGAACUAAUAUGAGAAGAGCAGACGUCAUAAAAAGCGAAACGAAACAUUUUCAUGAGACAUGGCGCCUUUGGAUUUUCUCCGCUAGUCAUUUGUUUCGAAAUGAAAUUUUCAUAUUUUUGUUGUCUUAUAUUUACUCGAGGACAAUUAUUAAGUGGUCAGAAUAAAUAGAUCCUCUAGCUUCUUGCCUGCUGUUUUAUUUUUGAAAAAUGUUUCUCGUAUUGUAUGUUUCUCGCUCCCUCCUUUGACUAAACGACGCAUGCGCAAUGACAUUUUUGCUCUAGAGUUCCCGCUGUGCCGCUCCUCAGAGGCUAAUGAAUCAGGAGUUAGUUUGCCUGUCGGGGUAACCUAAUCACAUAGUUCCCUACUCAAGUUACCGCAGUUUUAUUAUCCAUGGGUAUAUUGCCGAUGUCCAUAAAUACCAGCCUUGGGUGUUCAUACGGAGGACAGCGAGACCUGAAGACUGUUACAGUGAGGAACAGGUGACAGCAGGCUGUAGAGGACUGCAAGGUGCUCGUCAAGACUUAUGAGGGGCAGGACGUCCGACUUAACAAGACUAAUAAACACAUCUAUUUUCCUGGCAGUCACGGAAAGUGUCUUCACAUCGCGAUGACGUGACGUGACCCCGAAGCAAAAGACGAUAACAACGAACGUGCCAACAACACUCUGUCUCUCUCUCUUCACUCUCUACCUCAGUUUUGCUUACAAGCUCGCUCAAUCUGCCCCUCCUAAAUGUUUACGAGAGUACGUGCCUGAACAAUGAACACGCGGAGGUACUAAGCACACGAUGAACAGUAGCUGGGGGUAAAAAAAUAAACCUCCCCCAAACACAGCUAGAAUGGAGGGACGAGCGAAUGACUUGACGGGAAGGAUGCCUCAACCUCAACAACGACUGUUUACAGGCACGUAUGACGGAAGUGUAAACAGACCGACAGGACAGCUAUGAAAUCACAGGCCAAGUAAACAAUGAGUAUAGUCUUGUUAGGUGGCUACAGUCUGGCUAUGCUAGUCAUAGUCAAAUACCUGAUACACGCCCACCAAGCUAUGACCAGAGCAUGGAAGAAAAUUCAUGACAAAUUAAAUGUUCUUGAUUAAUUCCUGGUUUUACCCCUUAAUGAAUGAGUACGAUCAUAGAGUUCUAGAAUUAAAAUUCUUCACCUUACGGGGAGACAAAAAGGAGAAUAUUGUGAAAAAUAGCAUGUACAAGCUUCGAAAGAACAAAGUUCGAAGGUCUUUUAGUUCGUUGCUUUGUCCUUCAGACUGUCAUUAAAUGGAUGAUGUGCAGUUUCAAAGUGUCGCUAGAUUUUGUGCUAACCUCUCGAAAUAAAGGUUAAAUAGAAGCACAAGAGAACAGGGGAGGGUUGUGGUUGGAUUGGACCUGAGGAGGGACAGAGUUAAAUCACUGUUGUCAGAGCACGGCUUAUAGGUCUGAAAGAGAAGCGAUCUUGACUGAAGAUUCAACCCUCAGAUAGCCAUCGAGGCAUGCCAUCUCAUGUUUCACACACACACAUAUACUUCAAAGUGAGCUUUUCUCUCUUUUUUUUGUCCCACACGUGCGCACGCAGAUCCACGCAAGCACGCGCGCACAGACACAAAUUCAAAGCUGGCUUUCCUAAAUAACUCAUCAUUCUAUACAUUCUUGUCCCUGCUGUCGUUGGGUCCAUACACUGGCGGCACAAUGUAUGUAUUCUUCCUCCCUUCACGAUCGCAGCCCUCGCGAAGAUCCUUUAGAAACUGUGAGAAGUUUCCGAAACCCACAAAACUAUGUCAGCAGAACCACUCGCUACUCCAAAACCUCCGAGACUUGGCAACCUGAGAAUGUGCUAAAUGCGAAAUGAACCCUUAUCUCUCUGACAUAUUCCGUCACAGUCGACUGCUUCACUAGACUGACGGUUAGAACUUGAACUUUUUUUGUUAUUCGUAUUAUUUCGAGUCCAGGUGGUA
Molecule: long non-coding RNA, 15257 nt
Organism: Pomacea canaliculata
Lineage: Eukaryota; Metazoa; Mollusca; Gastropoda; Architaenioglossa; Ampullariidae
Exons: 4
Source: RefSeq, a predicted model, not a curated record